CCCUUAGAUGUUCUGGGCUGCACGCGCGCUACACUGAUACUUUCAGCGAGUCCACCACCUUGCCUGAGAGGGUGGGGUAACCUCUGGAAAGUGUAUCGUGAUGGGGAUCGAUUAUUGUAAUUAUUAAUCUUCAACGAGGAAUUCCUAGUAAGCAUGUGUCAUCAGCCCGUGCUGAUUACGUCCCUGCCCUUUGUACACACCGCCCGUCGCUCCUACCGAUUGGAUGGUCCGGUGAAGCCUCGGGAUUGUGGUUCUUGCCGCUUUAUUGUGGCGUGACCGCGAGAACUUGUCUAAACCUUAUCAUCUAGAGGAAGGUGAAGUCGUAACA
Molecule: ribosomal RNA, 328 nt
Filed under: uncultured eukaryote
Lineage: Eukaryota
Description: partial 18S ribosomal RNA
Rfam family: Eukaryotic small subunit ribosomal RNA
Source: RNAcentral